AGGAAUAUGCUAAGAGUGAAGAAGAGGGGUGUGAAACUGUGACAAAGGAAGGCGACGUUAACACUGCGGAUAACCACUUAGCAUCAUCCUGCAUGGAUCUGCUAAGCACCACCACCCAGCACUUGAAUGAAACAAGAAAGACCCCGCCCUCAGCCAUGAAGUAUGAAAGCAGCAGCAGCAGCAACAGCAAGAAACUUGUUGUGUUUAUAGGUGCCUCCUACAACACAUUUGUGGUACUUGGAUUUCCGUUCGCUAUUGGCGCCCUCUACACAGAGAUACUGGAUACAUUUAAUUCGUCGAGAAGAGAGACAUCUCUGGUGCCAGCGUUUUGCGUAGGAUGCACGUUUGGCGUUGGUUUCCUGAGUGGGCUGUUCAUCAAGAGAAGUGGAAUGAAGACCGUGCUGACUGCGGGAGGAUUUGUCAGCUCAUUAGGGUUAUUCUCAAGCUGGUUUGCUCAGUCGGUUGUGCAUCUGAUAGUUACUGUUGGGGUGUUAAAUGGAAUUGGAAACAGCUUCAUAUUCAUGUCCACCACAACACUGGUUGCAGAUACGUUCAACAGUCGCGGACGUCGAAGUCUUGCACUGGCAGGAAUUAUGUUUAGUGGUGGAAUCGGAACUAUUCUAUUCUCAUACAUACUCACUGCACUCAACAGUGUGUACGGAUGGCGAGGAACGUUUCUCUUUAUCAGUUGCUUUUAUCUUCAAAUCAUCGUUUCAGCAUCAGUCACAACAUCCAGUGCUGGGAAUCUCCAAUUCUUCAGAAGGCAGCAGCCUAAAGAUGACAAAACAGGAAAGGACUAUAAACCCAAGUGGAAGCAACUCUUGAAGCCUGUUUUCAUAUCCUUCGUUAUAACAUCCUGUUUAUCCUUUGGAACAGGAAACAACACCAGUGGUAUUUUAUCAGAUUUGGCUAAAAGUAGAUGAUUCUCGGAGGAAAGAGGACUUGCACUCAUUCUUUACUUCAACUCGGUCAACACAAUGUCUCGACUGUUAAGUGGCAUUCUGAAGACGAUACCUGGACUCCACAGUAUCGUCAUAUUCACAAUGGCCGCGGCUCUUCUUGGAGUUUCAUUGAUAUUUCUUGGAGCCUCUUCCGACUGGGUGCCGUUAGCAGUGUUGACAUCGACAGCUGGUGCUGGUAUGGGAGGGAUGCAAGCCAUGCUUCCUGUCGUGUCAGUGGAGGUUCUUGCGCUGGAGAUGCUACCUAUCGGUCUCGGCCUCUGUGGGAUGAUGAAUGGUGCUGUCACUCCAAUUUUCGGGACAGUUAUGGGUUUGAUGUUUGAUAACAGCGGAUCGUAUGAAGUCCCGUUCUAUGUCAGUGGGAGCAUUGCCGCUGGAGCAGCUGCGUUGACGAUGAUUGUGUUUACAAUAUUGGAAUGUCGGUGUAACAAACAGCGUAGUCAUUCUGUGAUAAGACUGUAGUAGCAGAAAUUCUUUGGCAAUUGACAAUGAAAGUUUUAAGUACACCUGAACCCCGUUGUCUCGAACUCGGAAGUGUCGAAUUCCCGGUUGUGUCGGUCCCGGUUAGGUAAAGUAUUAAAUGGUCGAGUCGGAUGAGUCGAACCCCGGAUAAAUCGAACUAGUUCUGGGGCGGUCGGCUAGCCUAGUGGUUAAAGCGUUGGCUCGUCACGCAGAAGAUCCGGGUUCGAUUCCCGACAUGUGUGAAGCCCAUUUCUGGUGUCCCCCGCCGUGAUAUUGCUGGAAUAAUGCUAAAAGCGGCGUAAAACCAUACUCACUCACCCACUCGAACUGGUUCUCUAGUCCUCCAGGAGUUUGUGACAACAUGAUUCGACUGUAAUUUAUAACUCUUCCUUUAAAACUGACGUUUGUGCCAACUAGUGAGGACCAGAUGUUGCAAUGUGACCUGGCUGAUUGUGUCAUCGUUGCUCAUGCUGGUAACUACUUAUGUAUACUGAUGAACUUUCAAAUCCCUGACAAAACCAUUUAAAACGUCCUUACUUUCUCUUGAUGAUGAAUUGCUCCAAUGCAUUGACGUUUGAAAACCUGUAGGCAUUGCUAGAUCUCCCGCAGCUAUGUAGGCUCAUACUUUACCUUGGCGCCUAGAAAAGUGCAGCUUUGUUUUCGAAAUGUAUGGAUAAACUUUAAACUAAAAAAUUACCACGAUUGACGAAACAUUCCAUGCAUGUGACUGCAUGUGGCCAUAGUUAUAGAUAUAAUCAAGUAUUAUCACUCUUCUUGGCUGAUGAAGAAAAUGAAAGAAAAGGUAUUAUACUUUGACAAAAAAGAGGUCAUUAACACUCGAGUGAAUAAGGUAGGUCUGUGAGGUGUGCCUCCUUUAAAGACCACCACUUGCAUCCAGUGAAUAAAUCACGGUUUGUAUAAACGUUUCGUUUGAUGUAAUGCCAGGAAC
Molecule: unclassified non-coding RNA, 2370 nt
Filed under: Haliotis rufescens (red abalone)
Lineage: Eukaryota; Metazoa; Mollusca; Gastropoda; Lepetellida; Haliotidae
Description: uncharacterized LOC124118912, transcript variant X2
Source: RNAcentral